RNAcentral lists this transfer RNA (74 nucleotides) under Lodderomyces elongisporus NRRL YB-4239. RNAcentral's name for it is "tRNA-Met (CAT) (tRNA-Met-CAT-3-1, tRNA-Met-CAT-3-2)". It matches the Rfam family "tRNA". Rfam says of the family: Transfer RNA (tRNA) molecules are approximately 80 nucleotides in length. Their secondary structure includes four short double-helical elements and three loops (D, anti-codon, and T loops). The record is from RNAcentral. Lineage: Eukaryota; Fungi; Ascomycota; Pichiomycetes; Serinales; Debaryomycetaceae.
GCCUUCCUAGUUCAGUUGGUUAGAACGUCUGUCUCAUAAUCAGGAGGUCGUGAGUUCGAUCCUCACGGAGGGCA